UCAGCUCAGAUUCACGGGGAGGAGAUACAACAUUCACCUUUCGAUGAAAGUGGCAAGAUAAUAUCACAACAGUGCAUGUGGUAAGGGAAAUAUUGUGGUAAUUGUCUUUGGAAACACAAAAGACCACAAUGAUCCAAGCCCUUGAUCAUGUGGCCAUGAAAUCUUCACUUCUGUGGGGUGAGGAUCCAGCAAAAUCCUCAGUGACAACCCCCAGGAGGGUUUUCUUCCAGGUUGACUAAGUUGUCUGUGGGUAACAUUUUGUUAUAUUUGUGUAUUGGUUGCAACUAUCAAUUGGCUGCAGAUACAAGACUUUGGCAAAAAUCAAAAAAGCAUUUUGUGAGAAUCAGUUGAAUAUAUACAUUUUAUAAAACAGUAUCAUAUAUUUUAUGAUUAUUUGUAAACUUUGUGCCACAAAUCUUUUAGUGUUAAUAAAUUUUAUAAUAAAAGUA
Molecule: long non-coding RNA, 449 nt
Organism: Homo sapiens (human)
Lineage: Eukaryota; Metazoa; Chordata; Mammalia; Primates; Hominidae
Source: Ensembl